AGAGUUUGAUCCUGGCUCAGGAUGAACGCUGGCGGCGUGCCUAACACAUGCAAGUCGAACGAAGCACCUUUUAAGAUUCUUCGGAUGAUUGAUUGGUGACUGAGUGGCGGACGGGUGAGUAACGCGUGGGUAACCUGCCCUGUACAGGGGGAUAACAGCUGGAAACGGCUGCUAAUACCGCAUAAGCGCACGAGGAGACAUCUUCUUGUGUGAAAAACUCCGGUGGUACAGGAUGGGCCCGCGUCUGAUUAGCUGGUUGGCAGGGUAACGGCCUACCAAAGCAACGAUCAGUAGCCGGUCUGAGAGGAUGAACGGCCACAUUGGAACUGAGACACGGUCCAAACUCCUACGGGAGGCAGCAGUGGGGAAUAUUGCACAAUGGGGGAAACCCUGAUGCAGCAACGCCGCGUGAGUGAAGAAGUAUUUCGGUAUGUAAAGCUCUAUCAGCAGGGAAGAUAAUGACGGUACCUGACUAAGAAGCUCCGGCUAAAUACGUGCCAGCAGCCGCGGUAAUACGUAUGGAGCAAGCGUUAUCCGGAUUUACUGGGUGUAAAGGGUGCGUAGGUGGCAGUGCAAGUCAGAUGUGAAAGGCCGGGGCUCGACCCCGGAGCUGCAUUUGAAACUGCUCGGCUAGAGUACAGGAGAGGCAGGCGGAAUUCCUAGUGUAGCGGUGAAAUGCGUAGAUAUUAGGAGGAACACCAGUGGCGAAGGCGGCCUGCUGGACUGUUACUGACACUGAGGCACGAAAGCGUGGGGAGCAAACAGGAUUAGAUACCCUGGUAGUCCACGCCGUAAACGAUGGAU
This 804-nucleotide ribosomal RNA is filed under the name uncultured bacterium. RNAcentral describes it as "bacterial SSU rRNA". It matches the Rfam family "Bacterial small subunit ribosomal RNA", at positions 8 to 814 of the family's 1533-position model. The record is from RNAcentral.